UAACAACUCAAUCAAUUUUAGAUGUUCAUGUCAAAGCACAAUAAUUAUGCAUCUUAGCGACAAUUUUGCACGUGGAGUUAUGAAUUGUUUAUGCUUAAAACAUGAUUUAGCAGCAAAUACACCGGACAAUCUCAUUUUCGUGUAUAAAUAAGUGGGCUUGGAAAAGCGAAUUUCAAAAGUUUCGGACUCCAACCUAAGGCCCAUCGACAGCAUAGUUAGAGACUAUUACAUCGUGAGAGAGAAAAUUGGAUUUUCUCCAUUCCUGACCAUGCAUGUAGUCGAUUCAAUAUGUCUGGCCAGAAUGACGCACUCACAAAGUUUAGCGCAAUAUUUGACSACCUGGGAGUACCGCGUCAAAACGAUAUUUGAAACACUUCCACUGAAUACCGAAAUCGCAACUGAAUUAAGGUUGCGUAAUAUCAUGGAUCUAAUGUCUUGCUUGGAUGAUGGAUCUGAAAUAAUUCGGCAAAAGUUCUCAGCCACCAACAGGUAAGCUAGUAACUCACUUAUAAAUAUUAUUAUUAUACAGAGCCCUUAUUUUUAAGCAUCUAUAAUAGUUCACCGUACAUUACAUCAUCAUCUAAAACUAGCACUGUCCACUAGCUAUGGGGAGUGGUAAUUUUUGCAAGAUGCCCAAUAUCCACAAAAUAGCACGGAUAAUGCGAUCGAUCAUUGUUAGGAAACCUAUGAUUGCCUCAAUUACAAGGCGAAACCGGCCUUUCAGUUCAAAGUUUAACUUAUACUCGGGAACAUCGAACCACUGGUACUUCUUCUCCUUGGUUUGAUCCACUAGAUA
Molecule: long non-coding RNA, 796 nt
Organism: Dendroctonus ponderosae (mountain pine beetle)
Lineage: Eukaryota; Metazoa; Arthropoda; Insecta; Coleoptera; Curculionidae
Exons: 3
Source: RefSeq, a predicted model, not a curated record